Long non-coding RNA from Mobula hypostoma (lesser devil ray), 997 nucleotides. RefSeq lists it as uncharacterized. NCBI's taxonomy places the organism in Eukaryota, Metazoa, Chordata, Chondrichthyes, Myliobatiformes, Myliobatidae. The transcript has 5 exons. The record is from RefSeq and is a predicted model, not a curated record.
AUUUAUUUACAGAUACGGCAUGGUAACAGGCCUUUUCGGCCCAAGAAAACAAUAUCAAGAUACAAAAUGAGGCUGUCUCGUCACUCCAUGUUCAAGACGUAGCAGAACCCGAGACUGUAGUCCUUCGGCACAAAGCAUCCCCGGUGGCUGCACGGAGCUUCCUCGAGCACGUACUUCUGCGUCCUGGAAUUACUGACUUCACAAUUUCUCCCAUGCCCUUUCUAUUCUUCUGUGGAACUGGCUUCUGUUGCAUCAACUUGCAUUUAUAUAGCUCCUGAAGUAUCCCAGCACUUGACAGGACAAGCAAAAAUCAAAACAAAGGUUAGGAAUCAUGGUACUGGACUUGAUGGAAACAUGGUGAAUAUGUAUGAUUCCUUUGUGAAAAGAAUAGAGGAACACUAAAUCUUUACAGUAAUCACUGAUAAAGCCAGUCUUAAUAGACAUCGCUCGUUACCCUUGAGAAGACAACAACAACUGAAUGCCCUUCCAAGACACUUCAAGAACACUCUACUUAAGAGUCAACAGCCCCUGACAAUAAAACUGACAUUGUAACCUAAAGUGGUAUAAAAGUAAAAAGGAAGGACAUGUAUUUUCUGUGGCAUCUCUAAAGACAAAGUGAAUGGAUUACAGUCAAUGCGGCAUAGCCCGUGACAUCUUCUGAUUAGUCAGAGUCAGGGGAUCGGAGGUAACUAAUGAGGCUAACGCGGAAGCACAGACUCCUCAGCAGUCAUGGGAGAGGUUGUGGACGGGUGGGUGGAUAGUUGGUGAGGUUAUACAGAACCUCAGUGAGCUCCUGAUGUGUGGCCUUGACAUUUGCAGCAGCACCCUGACUGCUCCUUCUCCGGUCAUGGGCCAAGGAUUCCCUGGUCAGUGGGCAUACAGUAUGUACCAUCUGUGAACCAUUUUUAUUCUCAUAACAAUAAAAUAAUUUGCUUUCAGACAUAAAUAUCAACUAAAAUGUUGAUUAGAACUUAUUUGUUCUCUUUUCAAAUAAGCU